UGAGCGGCGNACGGGAUUAUUAAACGCGUGGGAACGUACCCUUUUCUAAGGAAUAGCCACUGGAAACGGUGAGUAAUACCUUAUACGCCCUUCGGGGGAAAGAUUUAUCGGAGAAGGAUCGGCCCGCGUUAGAUUAGAUAGUUGGUGGGGUAACGGCCUACCAAGUCUACGAUCUAUAGCUGGUUUUAGAGGAUGAUCAGCAACACUGGGACUGAGACACGGCCCAGACUCCUACGGGAGGCAGCAGUGGGGAAUCUUGGACAAUGGGCGCAAGCCUGAUCCAGCCAUGCCGCGUGAGUGAUGAAGGCCUUAGGGUCGUAAAGCUCUUUCGCUGGGGAUGAUAAUGACAGUACCCAGUAAAGAAACCCCGGCUAACUCCGUGCCAGCAGCCGCGGUAAUACGGAGGGGGUUAGCGUUGUUCGGAAUUACUGGGCGUAAAGCGCGCGUAGGCGGAUUGGACAAGUUGGGGGUGAANAUCCCGGGGCUCAACCUCGGAACUGCCUCCAAAAACUAUCAGUCUCAGAGUUCGAGAGAGGUGAGUGGAAUUCCGAGUGUANAGGUGANACAUUCGUCAGAUAUUCCGGAGGAACACCCCAGUGGCGAAGGGCGGGUUCACUGGGUUCGAUAACUGACGCUGAGGUGCGAACGUGUUGGGGGAGCAACCAGGGAUUAG
RNAcentral lists this ribosomal RNA (673 nucleotides) under Roseobacter sp. UST050418-052. RNAcentral's name for it is "bacterial SSU rRNA". It matches the Rfam family "Bacterial small subunit ribosomal RNA", at positions 92 to 781 of the family's 1533-position model. The record is from RNAcentral. Lineage: Bacteria; Pseudomonadati; Pseudomonadota; Alphaproteobacteria; Rhodobacterales; Roseobacteraceae.